AAUGAUAAAAGAAUGCUCAAAAGAAUAAGUUGACAGAUGGUCGAAAAAUCUCAUGUUUGGGGUGUUGAGCUGUAAGAAAUUUGUACGCAGUGAGUGAGAUGUGAAAGGCGUUGUGAUGGAUGUGCUAGUAUUUUAAGAAUGGUGGUAAGCUACUUAACCAAAUAUUAUCCUACCUUUACCAAAAGCCCCGUUACAUCCCAAUGAAUAAGACCUUUUGAUUUGUGAAUCAUAUUGACUUGUGAGCAAUGAAUUUUGCUUGAUUUUGGGAGAAAGAUCUUAUGUGCAUAAAAUAAAGAAUAGUCAGAAGAACUUCUCUUUAUGAAUUAGUGACGAGACUCCCAACACACAACACGGACUUAGAUUGAAGCAUGGGAUGCCUAGUUCUUAGGGAAUUAGUUCGUGUAUAAUUCUUGUUCUAAAGUUUUACCCGCGAGUGAAUUCGGGGCCGGCCUAUUUUCCCUACUGAUUCAUAUGGUUUGGCGUGACUUGAAGCAGAGGAUUAUCUAAUAUAUCUUGUGAGUGUGAUUUAUUGUGUUACUUGCUCGAGGGCUAGCAAGACUUAAGUUUUGGGGGUGUUUGAUGUGAAUGGGUACUUUUCUAACUUGUUCCUCGGACAGUAUACAAUGGAAUGGAGGUCAGAUAUAUAUUAUCUAUUUUCAUCUUUAUAAUCUUUAUUUAUGUCUCAUUUCAUUUUUUCAUUUUGUUCGCAUCAGUUUGCUCAUUUUCUAGGCAAGAAUCAAUCCAUCCAGAGCUCAAAUGCAUUUCCAGUUUGCCCCUCCGCUUCAUUAGUGGGUGGACUUUCUUGGAAAUUUGCAUCUCUAUUUCCAAGAUUCCUACAAGAAUCAAAGGACUACAUAAGGGUGGAGAACUCUAGGAAGGAAUCGGAGGAAUUUGGAGCACAAAAUCAAGGAAUCCUCAUUCUACCACCUGCUCGAGAAAAUGCUCAACUGAAAGAGCUUGUUGUAUGUUUGCCUACACUAGUUUAUUGUAAUUUAGCAUCGAAGUGGCUGUUGGAAUGUGAUCAUAAGCCCAAGGUGAAGAUGAAGUGUGGGGUUGAUUGUGUUGAGUUCUACUCCAAAUUCAGUCACCAUUGUAAUAGUGGCAGUCUGGGAUUAUUUCUCUAAGAUAUUUGAUACUGAUUCUUCUAGACAUGGAAUGGAUUCCAUAGGUGGUGUAGUUGAGCAACUUAGUGGUGUUGUGGAGGAAGAAUCGAUGAUGUUAAGAAAGGAUGCUAUUGGUAAUUUUGAAGAGUUAGGGAACUAUAGCAAAUUUUCAUUGCAAUUUUGUCUUGAUGCAAAGGCUGGUGGUGGAAAAAUCGACCAUGGCCAGGUGAAGAAGGGCAUGGAAUUAGAGCAGAAUCAACUCCAGAGAAUUGAACGCCUAUCUCAUGCUCGAAAAAAUGCCACAGUGAGGAAGCAAACUGUGGUUUUACCUAUCUCAGCCGGUUAUAGUUUGUCACUGUCGUGGCUGCUCAAUUGGUUUCCGAGGCCUAAGGUGAAGAUGAAAACGAAGGAGGUGGAAGUAGGAGACUUAAUUUCUACCCUUACACAAGAGUUGGGAGAAGGGAUACCGUUUGUAGAUGAUGCAUCAAGAUUUUUGAGUAUCAAGAUUACUAGAGCAGUAGUUAAAGUUCCUGCAUAUUUAAAUGACUCUCAAAGGAUUUACACCGAAUGAUGUGUAGGUGCCGUAGCAAGAUGGAAAAGAUAAUAGGGAUAUUUUCAUUAUAGAAAUUGGAAUUUUAGUAGGCAAGAAACAUGGUGGUAAAAGAGAGGAAGAUCCAUUGCAUGGAGAUAUGUCAUUUGAUAGAUGUCUCUGUAUUGAUGAAGGUAUAGAACAGUUGGAGCAAUUGGGAUCAUUGUGCAAUAACUAUGUGUGUCAAGGGAGAUUUUAUAUUUAUGAAGGACUAGAACGAGCGGAGAAAAUGGAGACACUUUUUGUUAAAGUUGAACACUUGUUUUGUUAUAAUUUUCAGCUCAAGCCCUUGUGGAUUUUGGUCUGUAUCAGAUUCUGGACGAAAACGGGACCAUGGCUUGAGAGCUCCCUUAUUCGUACCUUCCAUUUAGGAUGCUUACAUUUCGCUCUGUUCUUGCUGACAAUGACUUGUUUCCUUCCUUCCUUGACGACAAGAAAGCUCACUGGAGUUUGCUCAUUUUCUAGGCAAGAAUCAAUCCAUCCAGAGCUCAAAUGCAUUUCCAGUUUGCCCCUCCGCUUCAUUAGUGGGUGGACUUUCUUGGAAAAAAACAAAAUUGAAUCAAGUUAGAAAAAUUAUGGUGAUCAUUUUUAGUUCCUUCAUCUCACAUUGCAAUUAGCGAUGGUACACAAACUCUUGAAAAUGACAUAAUUCCUUCAUUCCUUCUUGCUUGGGCCAGCUACUAAUGGAACCUUCCAGUUACGCAUAAGUGAGUACAUUCUGUUUAUAUAUUAGCCAUUAGGUGUGUUUGUGUUUUUUAAAUUAGGCGUGUUUGUGUUUUUUAAAUGACCAAGUUUGGAGACAAAUAAAAAGUCGUUUGCUUGAAA
Long non-coding RNA from Salvia splendens (bonfire salvia), 2517 nucleotides. RefSeq lists it as uncharacterized. The transcript has 3 exons. Lineage: Eukaryota; Viridiplantae; Streptophyta; Magnoliopsida; Lamiales; Lamiaceae. The record is from RefSeq and is a predicted model, not a curated record.